Arachis ipaensis is the source of this 1319-nucleotide non-coding RNA. The record is from RefSeq and is a predicted model, not a curated record. Lineage: Eukaryota; Viridiplantae; Streptophyta; Magnoliopsida; Fabales; Fabaceae.
CCACAAAUUUUCUUGCUCUGACUCUCGGUGCUUUGAAACGUGAAGCCUCAUCUCCAUCCUCCUCAAUUUCUUAAUCCGCCUCUUCAAUCUAUCCUCAAGAUGGAAACCACAAUCGCGUGUUCUGCUCUGAAGAUUUGAAUCCACCUCUUAAUCAUCUUCAAUCUAUUGCUCUGACUUUUUGAUCUCUCUUCCGCCACUGUCAUCGAAGCCUCCGUCGUGCCGUCGUUACUGUCAACGUGAGUUCUUUACUCUAGGAUCUGAAUUGGAAAUUCUCAAGACAAGUGUAUCUAUUCUAUGCUACCUGAAUCACCUUCCCUAUCAAUUUCAUACUCUCCAGGAGGGCUUAUGUUCAAGCCAUGAGGGAGUAACUUGCAGCAUGCAACGACAUUUUCAUUCCUUUCAUUUGAUUACUAUAUCCGGAGCAGGACAAUAGUUUUUACAUUUGAGCAGGGCUUAUGUUUGUCUAGGUAAUAUCAUACUCUCAAUUCCCUUUAUUGAUAAUUAUUUUAUUGAAUUGUGAGAAUCCUGUAAUAGUUUUGAUGCUGCAGAUUUUGUUGGAUUGUGAGAAUCCUCUUUAUCAAUCUUAUUUUUCUGUUUCUAAUUUUUCUUUUCAUCUUUGAUGUUGCAGAUUUUGUUGAAUUGUGAAAAUCCUGUAACUUUGUAUUUUAAUUUUAAUUUUUAAAGUUCUUGUUUCUCUCAUUAAAGAAAGUAACCAUGAUGAUGUAGGGUAGGUGUGCAUUCCAUUGUUAACCUCUUCUGAAUCAUGAUAAUAAAAUCCUUGACAUCUCUGUUGUAAGUAUCUAGAAAAUUUUGCUCUUAUGUUCUGUGACAAGUGACACAUGUUCCUGAAAAGUGCAGCUAUAACUUCAGUCAUUGAUGGAAACCCUAAGUUCAUCAAACCUCACUAUAUCAGAUGCGUGAGGACAAACAAUGUCCUCAAGCAUGCUAUUUUUGAAAUUCUCAACAUUAUUCAUUAAUUAAACUGUGGUGUGAGUAUAUGGUGUAUAUUUGUCAUUAUUAGCUUUCUUUUUAUUAAACAUGCAAGGAGAAACUUCAAUGGCAACCAUUUACAGUUGGUGAUUGUUUAUUUGUUAUUUGCUUUAGGGUGUCCUUGAGGCUAUUAGAAUCAGCUGUGCAGGUUAUCCUACUAGACAGACCUUUUAUGAGUUUGUUAAUCGAUUUGGUGUUCUUGUCCCUAAAGUUCUAGAUGGAAGUUAAAUUACACCUCCUAGUUUCUCUCUCUUUUUUUUCUAUCUCCAAAUUGGCAAAUGGAUUUCUACCUUGUAUUUCAAGAAACUUGUCUUAUUUUUUUGUUUCUA